CCAUCCCUAUAUAGGAUCUAAACCUGUGACCUUGGUGUUAUCAGCACCACACUCUUUCAAGUCAGCCACAGGCCAACAGGUCACAAGCAGGCCUCCCUGAAGAAUCAAGAUGGAUGUCAGCAGCCCUGAUUCAUAGAUGCUCAGAAGCAUGAACUUCACUUCGGAUGUUCUGGCACGUAUACUUGCACACACAUGGACACAGCAAGCCAGCUGCCUUGCAGAGUCCUGCUGGAGAGACCAGAAAGCAGAUUCAGGUCAAGGUCUUUUCACCAAUGGGGUAAGGGUCAUUUCACAAAGUCUACCCAUAUCUAAGGCCCACAUGGCUCAGCUGUAUUUUAACUCUGAUCCCAAGCAGUCCUCCCAUGUUGGUGGAAGACAAUUAUUAUACCCAGAAGGGAUGACCUGAAGCCAGGGGCUUCCCUGAUACCUCGGAUGAUGGGGAGAACUUCGGCAGACCUGCCACAUGCUCAGCUGACUGCAAACAUGUCUGUAUGCUGUCCUUCAUGUGGUCAGCUUCUGUCCCCACUUCAGAUGACUUGGGGGAAGAGAAGCAUCCUGGAUGGAGCGGUGGCAGCAGUGCCACUGACUCUGCUUCAUGCCUUAGGGUAAACUCAUGGUGGGCCAGCGGGGACAAAUGCCUGGUUUGCUUCCCAAGAGUCAUGACUGUUGGCCCACGAACACAUAUGCAGAACAUAUAUACAUAGGCUCUGCCGAAUCAACUUUGUAUAUAAGGUUUUGGGAAAUAGAUUCCAACAUUUAUAAAAUCAAAAGCCUGCACAUAAAAAAUGUGCAUUUCUUACUCCUCUUGGAAAACUAGAAAAUGGAACAACCAUGUGUUGAUUCCACUAUCUCUUGUCUCUCAGUGGCAGCAGAAACCAGCAGAUGAUGAAGGCCAUGGCUACCCCACACUUACCAGGAAUAUUGGCUGGGCCACAAAGCCACAUCUCUGGACUAUAGGAUCUUCCUUCUCAGUCCUGGGGUUCCUGCCUGUGCAGUGAUGGCCUUGAAGCGAACAGCCCAGGGAUGCUACAGGAAUCCACAAAACCUUUAGAUGAUUUGCUCUGACAGUAAACAACAUGCUGCUGAUUGUGCUCAUUCUAAAGGGGCAUCUGCACAUGUUCUAGAGAACAUGGCUGUGCAAGAAGAGGAUGUACGGGACUUCUCAAGACCUGCAGAGCCAUCUCUCCUGUGGCCAAGGUCACUGUCACAGCAAAUUGGGCAAACACUGAAAAUUAGGUGGGGUUUUUUUGUUGUUUUUUUUCUGAGAACUGCUGUUUGUUAACUUUUGUGGUGUAAAUUCCCGUACUGUGGCCGAUUUCAAGCUACCCAUAUGAUGUCACUGAAUGUAACCAGCUUUUGUGAUCCACUAUGAUCUGGCUCAGGCACACCCCUUCUGUUUACAUUCUCCCUCACUCCCUGACCUUAAACCCGGUGUUUCUGUACCCACUUAUGGUUUGUUUCCACCUGGCCACUAUAAAUCUUACAGUCAGUGACACUUGCAAAUAGAUUCUGGACUUCAGGGGCUUUAUUCAUGGGCAGGUACCAAAAGACAGUGGCCCCUCAACAGUGCAGGGGAAUGUGAGACAUUCCUGGGAACAAGGGACCCAACCCCUGCUGCUCCAGGACAUACUGGAGAUUGCCACUCCAGAUAUGCAAUUUCCAAAGCUCUGGGCCCAGCAAGUCAUCCUGCAUCCAGGACACAUGAUUUGGACAAGAGUGACCUUCAGUCUGUCCCAGGAGGCCUUGAGCUACAAAGCAAAUUAGGUGUAACUGGACUGAGAACUGUUCCUUGCCAUUCUGCUGUCCCCUCUGACAGCCCGCUACAAAAGCCCUUCCCCUCUCUCCACUGUUAGAGCCCAAUUUUCUUCUCAAUUUCUCCCCACACACAAUGGAUAGAGACCCCAGGAUUAAAAGAUGGCUUCAAUAAUAAGGCCUUUAUUAUCACACACUUUGGAGGCAGGCAGUUCCAGGGUUGGGUGAUUUGGAGACUGGACAAAUCCGUUGCUGGUGUCAUCUGUAGAAUCAAAAAGGACCAAGAAGAGACAUCUUCUCUGGAAGUGCUCAGCAGACUCCAGUUUAGAUCCUCUUAGAGAGAACUAGUCAGGGCAAUGCCUUAACCAAUGGAGAUGGGAGAAGUGGGAAAU
This is a long non-coding RNA of Galeopterus variegatus (Sunda flying lemur), 2144 nucleotides long. RefSeq lists it as uncharacterized. The record is from RefSeq and is a predicted model, not a curated record. NCBI's taxonomy places the organism in Eukaryota, Metazoa, Chordata, Mammalia, Dermoptera, Cynocephalidae. The transcript is spliced from 2 exons.